CUGGUCAGUGAUGAAACUAAUUUUUCUCGUUUGAGUUUAACGACUAUGCGAUAACUACAUGCACUACCAUCUGAGACCAG
Molecule: small nucleolar RNA, 80 nt
Organism: Pseudophryne corroboree (corroboree frog)
Lineage: Eukaryota; Metazoa; Chordata; Amphibia; Anura; Myobatrachidae
Source: RefSeq, a predicted model, not a curated record